CAGCGGUGCUGAUUAGGGGUUGUUCUUACUCUCCCUUGCAAUUAUUUUGUACUUGUAGGGGUGCAUGUAGGCACGGUCCUUGUGAUGCGGUACGUGAUGGUGUGUGAGUGGUAUUUGGUUUGUGUGGUUGGCGGGCUCUUUGCUUGUGCAUUGGACCGUUCACCAACAUACCUUUUCAUUGUAUGCUGCAAGUGCACCAUUUUGCCUUGGGCGACGUGUGGUCCCUAUGUUGGAUUCCGAUUAACGGUAUUGUUGUUGUCCCUUUAAAGAGUGAUAUUCGCUCUACGUCCGUAAAAGGAGGUCGAGCGGACCAUGAAACUUGACUCGUUAUCCUCCUGUUUUGUGAAAACAAGCAUGAUAGGGUUGGAUUAUGAUCUCAAGUUGGGCCCUAGGAUACAGAAAGUUGUGUGGGAGUUGAUGUAAAAACGUCGCAAACCCAAAGCGUUGGUACGCUAAUGAUGGAUGACAUUCGAGUGUGUUGUGAUUCUUUCAUUCUAGAAAGGUUCAUGCUCGCCGAUGUCGACCAAGGAGUGCUACCUGGUUGAUCCUGCCAGUAGUCAUAUGCUUGUCUCAAAGAUUAAGCCAUGCAUGUGUAAGUAUGAACUAAUUCAGACUGUGAAAC
RNAcentral lists this unclassified non-coding RNA (622 nucleotides) under Salicornia persica. Its description in RNAcentral is "partial contains external transcribed spacer and small subunit ribosomal RNA". The stretch from base 535 to 622 matches the Rfam family "Eukaryotic small subunit ribosomal RNA", at positions 1 to 87 of the family's 1831-position model. Lineage: Eukaryota; Viridiplantae; Streptophyta; Magnoliopsida; Caryophyllales; Amaranthaceae. The record is from RNAcentral.